This 253-nucleotide ribosomal RNA is filed under the name uncultured bacterium. Its description in RNAcentral is "partial 16S ribosomal RNA". It matches the Rfam family "Bacterial small subunit ribosomal RNA", at positions 524 to 776 of the family's 1533-position model. The record is from RNAcentral.
UACGAAGGGGGCUAGCGUUGUUCGGAUUUACUGGGCGUAAAGCGCACGUAGGCGGAUCUUUAAGUCAGAGGUGAAAUCCCAAGGCUCAACCUUGGAACUGCCUUUGAUACUGGGGAUCUUGAGUCCGGGAGAGGUGUGUGGAACUCCGAGUGUAGAGGUGAAAUUCGUAGAUAUUCGGAAGAACACCAGUGGCGAAGGCGACACACUGGCCCGUUACUGACGCUGAGGCGCGAAAGCGUGGGGAGCAAACAGG